Molecule: ribosomal RNA, 870 nt
Filed under: uncultured bacterium
Lineage: Bacteria
Description: bacterial SSU rRNA
Rfam family: Bacterial small subunit ribosomal RNA
Source: RNAcentral
GAACGCUGGCGGCAUGCUUUACACAUGCAAGUCGAACGGCAGCGCGGGCUUCGGCCUGGCGGCGAGUGGCGAACGGGUGAGUAAUAUAUCGGAACGUACCCAAGAGUGGGGGAUAACGUAGCGAAAGUUACGCUAAUACCGCAUACGAUCUAAGGAUGAAAGCAGGGGACCGCAAGGCCUUGUGCUCCUGGAGCGGCCGAUAUCUGAUUAGCUAGUUGGUGAGGUAAAGGCUCACCAAGGCAACGAUCAGUAGCUGGUCUGAGAGGACGACCAGCCACACUGGAACUGAGACACGGUCCAGACUCCUACGGGAGGCAGCAGUGGGGAAUUUUGGACAAUGGGGGCAACCCUGAUCCAGCAAUGCCGCGUGAGUGAAGAAGGCCCUCGGGUUGUAAAGCUCUUUUGUCAGGGAAGAAAAGGUUGCGGCUAAUAUCCGCGGCUCAUGACGGUACCUGAAGAAUAAGCACCGGCUAACUACGUGCCAGCAGCCCGCGGUAAUACGUAGGGUGCAAGCGUUAAUCGGAAUUACUGGGCGUAAAGCGUGCGCAGGCGGUUUUGUAAGACUGUCGUGAAAUCCCCGGGCUCAACCUGGGAAUGGCGAUGGUGACUGCAAGGCUAGAGUUUGGCAGAGGGGGGUAGAAUUCCACGUGUAGCAGUGAAAUGCGUAGAGAUGUGGAGGAACACCGAUGGCGAAGGCAGCCCCCUGGGUCAAAACUGACGCUCAUGCACGAAAGCGUGGGGAGCAAACAGGAUUAGAUACCCUGGUAGUCCACGCCCUAAACGAUGUCUACUAGUUGUUGGGUCUUAAUUGACUUAGUAACGCAGCUAACGCGUGAAGUAGACCGCCUGGGGAGUACGGUCGCAAGAUUA